CAUGUAUCUGCAUAUCUUUGGAACAUUGAUAGCCUUCGAGGGUGAUACACAGGUACUGCAUGGCCGUCGUCAGCUCGUGUCGUGAGAUGUAGGGUUAAGUCCCGAAACGGGCGCAACCCCUAUCCCAUGUUACAAGUGUCUUGGGAAACUGCCUCGGUAAAACGGGGAGGAAGGUGGGGAUGACGUCUGGUCCGCAUAGUCCUUAUGUCCUGGGCUACACACGCGCUACAAUGGUCGGUACAAUGGGCAGCCAAGCCGCAAGGCGGAGCUAAUCCUUUAAAACCGAUCUCAGUUCGGAUUGUGGGCUGAAACUCGCCCACAUGAAGUUGGAUUUGCUAGUAAUCGUGGAUCAGCCAUGCCACGGUGAAUACGUUCUCGGGUCUU
This 384-nucleotide ribosomal RNA is filed under the name uncultured candidate division WS6 bacterium. RNAcentral describes it as "bacterial SSU rRNA". It matches the Rfam family "Bacterial small subunit ribosomal RNA", at positions 985 to 1382 of the family's 1533-position model. The record is from RNAcentral.